CAAAAACAUCGCCUCCCGCAAGCCUCUAGGUAUGGGAGGUCUUACCUGCCCAGUGACGACGAGUUAAACGGCCGCGGUAUCUUGACCGUGCUAAGGUAGCGCAAUCACUUGUUUUUUAAAUGAAGACCUGUAUGAAUGGUUAAACGAGGGCUUAACUGUCUCCCUUAUCUGGUCAAUGAAAUUGAUCUCCCCGUGCAGAAGCGGGGAUUAUAGUACAAGACGAGAAGACCCUAUGGAGCUUAAGACAAAAGACCAACUGUACUUAAACCUCCUCCAUAAGAGGAAGGAAACAAAACAGCAACUGGCCCAAGUCUUCGGUUGGGGCGACCGUGGGGGAAAAUAAAGCCCCCAUGUAGAGUGGAAUUUUUCUAAAACCAAGAGGUACCUCUCUAGGUCACAGAACAUCUGACUUAGACGAUCCGGCAAUUAGCCGAUCAACGGACCAAGUUACCCCAGGGAUAACAGCGCAAUCCCCUCCAAGAGCCCAUAUCGACAAGGGGGUUUACGACCUCGAUGUUGGAUCAGGACAUCCUAAUGGUGUAGCCGCUAUUAAGGGUUCGUUUGUUCAACGAUUAAAGUCCUACGUGAUCUGAG
RNAcentral lists this ribosomal RNA (594 nucleotides) under Gnathocharax steindachneri. Its description in RNAcentral is "partial 16S large subunit ribosomal RNA". It matches the Rfam family "Bacterial large subunit ribosomal RNA", at positions 1808 to 2609 of the family's 2925-position model. Lineage: Eukaryota; Metazoa; Chordata; Actinopteri; Characiformes; Characidae. The record is from RNAcentral.